Molecule: ribosomal RNA, 402 nt
Filed under: Triticum aestivum (bread wheat)
Lineage: Eukaryota; Viridiplantae; Streptophyta; Magnoliopsida; Poales; Poaceae
Description: partial small subunit ribosomal RNA
Source: RNAcentral
GACCUCCUUGCCGCCAUGGAUUUGGGCUCGAGCUCCGCUGCCAUUCAUGGCCGGAGUCCCCUGAGGCGGCAAGGCCCUGGUGGUAGUGGACCGGUGUUGCAACGGUACUACAACCCUGAUGUGGUCUUCCAAGAUGCAGCACGACAUGGUCUGGAUGAAAUUGAUCUGAAUGUUGUUGUGGAGCCAUCGAUUUUCCUUGAUGAUGAUAUGAAAAAUGUUGCGCACGAAGAAGAAGAUGAUGGCAUUGAUCUAAAUGAUACUCCGGGAAAUGAUAGUGACGAUUCGUUGCAGCUAAACACGGAUGGUGUAGCUCCAAAUCAUGGCAAUGCCCGUGUGGCUAGUGAUAAUGCCAAUGGAAAUGCUGCAACACUUGUUAACAAACCAGAUGAAGAUAUAUCAUCA